Molecule: ribosomal RNA, 468 nt
Filed under: uncultured bacterium
Lineage: Bacteria
Description: partial 16S ribosomal RNA
Rfam family: Bacterial small subunit ribosomal RNA
Source: RNAcentral
GACGAACGCUGGCGGCGUGCUUAACACAUGCAAGUCGAACGGAAAGGCCCUGCUUUUGUGGGGUGCUCGAGUGGCGAACGGGUGAGUAACACGUGAGUAACCUGCCCUUGACUUUGGGAUAACUUCAGGAAACUGGGGCUAAUACCGGAUAGGAGCUCCUGCUGCAUGGUGGGGGUUGGAAAGUUUCGGCGGUUGGGGCUGGACUCGCGGCUUAUCAGCUUGUUGGUGGGGUAGUGGCUUACCAAGGCUUUGACGGGUAGCCGGCCUGAGAGGGUGACCGGCCACAUUGGGACUGAGAUACGGCCCAGACUCCAACGGGAGGCAGCAGGGGGGAAUAUGGCACAAUGGGCGGAAGCCUGAUGCAGCAACGCCGCGUGCGGGAUGACGGCCUUCGGGUGGUAAACCGCUGUCGCCUGUAACGAAGCGUGAGUGACGGUAAUGGGUAAAGAAGCACCGGCUAACUACGUG